This 429-nucleotide ribosomal RNA is filed under the name Chloroflexota bacterium. Its description in RNAcentral is "Chloroflexi bacterium partial 16S ribosomal RNA". It matches the Rfam family "Bacterial small subunit ribosomal RNA", at positions 355 to 776 of the family's 1533-position model. Lineage: Bacteria; Bacillati; Chloroflexota. The record is from RNAcentral.
UGGGGAAUAUUGCACAAUGGGCGCAAGCCUGAUGCAGCCAUGCCGCGUGUAUGAAGAAGGCCUUCGGGUUGUAAAGUACUUUCAGUCGGGAGGAAGGUGUCAAGGUUAAUAACCUUGGCAAUUGACGUUACCGACAGAAGAAGCACCGGCUAACUCCGUGCCAGCAGCCGCGGUAAUACGGAGGGUGCAAGCGUUAAUCGGAAUUACUGGGCGUAAAGCGCACGCAGGCGGUUGAUUGAGUCAGAUGUGAAAUCCCCGGGCUUAACCCGGGAAUUGCAUCUGAUACUGGUCAGCUAGAGUCUUGUAGAGGGGGGUAGAAUUCCAUGUGUAGCGGUGAAAUGCGUAGAGAUGUGGAGGAAUACCGGUGGCAAAGGCGGCCCCCUGGACAAAGACUGACGCUCAGGUGCGAAAGCGUGGGGAGCAAACAGG